GUGCUCACUUUGGUAGCACAUAUACUAAAACUGGAAUGAUACAGAGAGGAUGAGCACGGCCCCUGCCCAAGGAUGACAUGCAAAUUCAUGAAGCGUUCCAUAUUAAA
This is a small nuclear RNA of Fukomys damarensis (Damara mole-rat), 107 nucleotides long. Lineage: Eukaryota; Metazoa; Chordata; Mammalia; Rodentia; Bathyergidae. The record is from Ensembl.